CGAACAUUCAGACCGUCGGUCUACCGAGCAAUAUCAUCCGCUCGGUAGAAGAUCUUCCCCCCGUCGC
This 67-nucleotide microRNA precursor is filed under the name Bombyx mori (domestic silkworm). RNAcentral describes it as "mir-2774 microRNA precursor family". It matches the Rfam family "mir-2774 microRNA precursor family". The record is from Rfam by way of RNAcentral. Lineage: Eukaryota; Metazoa; Arthropoda; Insecta; Lepidoptera; Bombycidae.